GACGAACGCCGGCGGCGUGCUUAACACAUGCAAGUCGAGCGGUAAGGCCCUUUCGGGGGUACGACGAGCGGCGAACGGGUGAGUAACACGUGGGUGACCUGCCCUCAGCUCUGGGAGUAAGCCUGGGAAACCGAGGUCUAAUACCGGAUAUGACUCCAUGACGCAUGUUGUGGGGUGGAAAGCCUUGUGCGGCUGAGGAUGGGCCCGCGGCCUAUCAGCUUGUUGGUGGGGUGAUGGCCUACCAAGGCGACGACGGGUAGCCGGCCUGAGAGGGCGACCGGCCACACUGGGACUGAGGCACGGCCCAGACUCCUACGGGAGGCAGCAGUGGGGAAUCUUGCGCAAUGGGCGAAAGCCUGACGCAGCGACGCCGCGUGAGGGAUGACGGCCUGUGU
This 395-nucleotide ribosomal RNA is filed under the name uncultured bacterium. RNAcentral describes it as "bacterial SSU rRNA". It matches the Rfam family "Bacterial small subunit ribosomal RNA", at positions 28 to 421 of the family's 1533-position model. The record is from RNAcentral.